UGAAGAAAAUUUAGACAUUGCACCUCUGUAACAAGUGGACCAGCCCUGCUUUGCUGAAUGGGCGAAUUUUGCUUCCUCUACUGAAUGAUUGUGGCAACUGAUUUGGCAAUUAAAGCUUUCAAUUUCAAAUAAAUAUUCAUUGUAAUGUUGUAUAAUUUUGGAAGUAUUUUGAAUAAAUAUUCAUUGUAAUUUAGUAUUGAUUAUUUUGAAUAAAUAAAUAUUCAUUGUA
This 229-nucleotide long non-coding RNA is filed under the name Anneissia japonica. RNAcentral describes it as "uncharacterized LOC117113788". Lineage: Eukaryota; Metazoa; Echinodermata; Crinoidea; Comatulida; Comatulidae. The record is from RNAcentral.